AGUCAUUACAUGAGGGAGGUUGUGGAUUCAACUCUCACCUCCUUCACUAUAUACCUAAUUUUUAUAAAAUAUGUGUUAUAUAUGGGGUGCAGGUAGGGUAGGAUAAGGUAUACCCUAAACUCGUACCCUACCCUACCCGCAGGCAAACCCGAACCAAUUUCUACCCUACCCACAACGAGUCGGGUAGUCUACCCUACCUGAACGGGUUGAUUCGGGUUGGGUACUCGUAAGUAGGGUAUGUAUUGCCAGCCCUAGUGGUUGGUUGCUAAUUCGGUAGCUAAAGUUGUGGUCACUAAAUCGGUUGCUAAUUUUUAAAUUAGCGACCGAUUUUAUAACUAAUCAGUCGCAAAAGCAGCCACUAAGUUAAAAGAAAAAAAAAGAUAUUAUCUAAAUUACCCUCACUAACCCUAACUCACCCACACCAUUCUCAUAUUCUCCAAUCAGAUACCAUUGUCGUCUCCGAGCUCCGUUGUCGUCUUCUUCACCGCCGUCUUCUGCGUACGUCUCGCCGCCAUCUCUUGAGGUCUCCUCAUCGUCUUCUUCUGCAGUCUCAGUAUCGUCGCCUAUGUCAUUAAGAUCUCAGCGUCGUCUCCAAGCAGUGUAUUGGCUUGUUGAAAAAGUGAAAAUGGUAUUGGAUGGCAAUUGCACAUUUUGGUAGUACAUUUGCAACUCAAUGGGGAAUUCGUCCUCAGGUUUUCGUGAGAUCCAGCACGGUGAGCAAGACUACAUCAUCCAGCCACAAAGAUGAGAGUGUUAAGAUCACCUGAGGCUAGUGGAAGGUCACAAACAUUCAUUCCUUUUGGUGAACAAUGAAUUCAUGAGAAGGCAAUGAAAGACGCCUCACUGGAAAACAUUAAACUGCAGACAUCAACACCUUCUCUUGGAUUCACAAGGGAAUGAAAGAAAAGAUAUAGACAUAAAAAGGUUUAAGCAGGCUCUUUCUCAUGCGAAUUCACAUAUGAAGAGUUUUCCAUCUACUGCACAGGUUUGCAUUAUGUCACCACACUAGUAACCAAAUGCUUGUUAUUAAAGACUCAUUGAGUUUUUAAAGGUUUGGUUUGUUUAGGUUGCUGCCCAACAAUAAGGUACCUAUCUAGCUAGAUGCUUUAACCAUAUGGAUCAAUGUGAAGAGAAUCAUGAAGGUCCUCAGCGAUUUAGAGCAACCGGAUGUCAUAAGUUCCUUCUCUUCCAGUACACUUCAUAUUCUGUUGUGUUAUGGUUUUGUUUGUUUUGUGUUCCUAUUUAAAAAAAAAAGAGUUCAACACAAUAAAAUAGAGCUUACUAUAAACUAAGAAAACACAAAGAAAACAAAAACUUAAACAAAGUUACUCAACACCGUAUUCAACUAAUAACACAUACUCUACUCCCACAUUGCCACUAGCUAAUACAACACAAAAAGUUGAAUGAGAUACAAAAGAAAUAUAGUAGUGAGUAGUGUUUGCUUCAUAGUUAAAAGCAAGGGACACUUGGAAACAGUGCAAAACUUCCUAUCUAUGAAAAUUAUUUAUAUAUUAUAACUGAGUUAUAUAUAAAUACAGAAUUUCAUGUAAAUAUGAUUUCCCUUGGCACUUUCAUUUUCUUUUAGCCCUUUUCAAAUGCUCUCCUUAUUCUUUUUAAACUAAUUUUGCAGCCAUGAUUUCUAGUUUCUACUUUUUUGAUUUUUUUACAAAGAAUAAGCAAAUACAAUUGCUAAUCAAUGCUGGUGGACCUGAUAGGGUAUUGCGAGUUCAAAUGACCGAGGCUGUUGCACAGUUUAGAGGCUAUGACACCUCAAAAAUCAAAUAAGUGUCUACCUCGUUGAGAUUGUUAUUAGAGAGGUCCAACUUGCAAAUGGUGGCCAAGUUAAGAGAAGGGUUGGGAAGGGAGUCCAAAAACAUGCCACUGAGGUCCACAAUCUCAAGCCUCUCUUCCUCUAUGCCUCUGCUUUAGCUGCUGCUGCUGCUGCGGCCGCCGCUCUUUUCCACCUUCUUAAUCAUCGGUUGUUGUUGCACUUACAACAUCGUUAGAUAAUAAUAAGCACCAUCUUUUGUAAUAGUGACUGAUUUAGCUACCGAUUUUAGAUUUUUAGAUCAGACAUCACCGACUAAUUUUAUCAAUGACCGAUUUAGCGACCAAAAAUUUGGUCGCUAUUUAGCAACCGAUUUUCUCAGUGACAAAUUUAGUGACCGAUUUUAUUAGCAACCGAUUUAGCGACCAAUAUCGUUUGGUACUAGUUUGGUAGCAUUGGUUGAAAAUCGGUCGCUGUUAGCAACCGAAGUUAGUCGCUAUUUUUAACAUAGCGACAAAGGUUUUAGCGACCACCAAAAUUGAUUGCUAAAUCGAUCGCUAUUCUAGUAAUUUCUUGUAGUGAGUUCCAUUCCUCGUUGUGUGCGCAAGAUUAAUUAGGGUAAUAAAGAGGUUAACAUUAGUGAGCAAUUGGACUAGAAUUGUAUGAGUUUAUUACUGGGGUAGAAAGAAUGGGUUACUAUUUUUUUUUGUAACACAUGUAUAGUUAGCUCAUAAAAGGGAGGAUGAUGAAUGGUGGAGCUUUUCUACCUAAAAAACGUGCAAGUUGUAAUGCAACAUUUAUUUCAUUUUUUUUUUUUGUGAGAAGCAAA
Molecule: non-coding RNA, 2597 nt
Organism: Arachis ipaensis
Lineage: Eukaryota; Viridiplantae; Streptophyta; Magnoliopsida; Fabales; Fabaceae
Source: RefSeq, a predicted model, not a curated record